RNAcentral lists this long non-coding RNA (736 nucleotides) under Mytilus galloprovincialis (Mediterranean mussel). The record is from RNAcentral. Lineage: Eukaryota; Metazoa; Mollusca; Bivalvia; Mytilida; Mytilidae.
UCUAGAUUGUGUAUUUAGUUCUGGCCUGAUGAGACAAGCUCUUUUCAUCUGAUUUUUUACAGUUCGAAUUAAUGUUGUGCCAUUUAACCCAUUGUCCCAUGAUAGGCGUUGAAAUUGAGCGAUCUCAAAAAUGUUUAAAAUUUGAGAUGGUUUUUUUCUUUUUCUUUUUGGGUUUUCCUUUUGAAUGAUAUUUGCUUAAUUAACGCUGUUAGUUUUCUUGUAUGAAAUGUUUAUUUUUAUAUUAUGCAGCUGUAGAAUACAAUAAGGCAUGUCUCUCAUUGUUGAAGGGCGUAUCAUGUUUGUAUCACUGUCUGUUGUUAUUAGAUGGAUAGUUGUUUCAUUUGAAAUAAUCUUUUUUUCAAUUGCAUUAUUAUGUCAUGUUUUAAAGACUAUUUCAUACCAUUAAUACUGGUAAAUUUUAACCAAAUAUCUCAUCACGCGUAAAGGUAUGUAUUCAUCCUUGAUUUCAAUUAUGUAAAUGAAUUGACCAUUUAUGAUAAAGUUGAUCUAGAAACGCGCGUUGGAUUCAUCAAAUAUAUCGUUAAUUUUUUCAUCACCGAACAUGAUUAUUUAACAUAUACAUGAAUAACUUGUUACUACUUUUUAUGAAUUUAAAUUUCUAAAUCUCGAAUAAAAAAAAAAUUCUAUUGCAUGAACAAUAUUUUUGUGUUAUUAGUAACUUUAUAUCUCUUUAUUUUUUAUUUUAUUUUUUAUACCAAAACGGAAACUAAAUGUC